CCUGCCCGGUGCUCGAAGGUUAAUUGAUGGGGUUAGCAUUAGCGAAGCUCUUGAUCGAAGCCCGAGUAAACGGCGGCCGUAACUAUAACGGUCCUAAGGUAGCGAAAUUCCUUGUCGGUUAAAUACCGACCUGCAUGAAUGGCGUAACGAGAUGGGAGCUGUCUCAAAGAGGGAUCCAGUGAAAUUGUAGUGGAGGUGAAAAUUCCUCCUACCCGCGGCAAGACGGAGAGACCCCGUGGACCUUUACUACAGCUUGACACUGCUACUUGGAUAAGAAUGUGCAGGAUAGGUGGGAGGCUUUGAGUAUAUGACGCCAGUUGUAUAUGAGCCAUUGUUGAGAUACCACUCUUUCUUAUUUGGGUAGCUAACCAGCUUGAGUUAUCCUCAAGUGGGACAAUGUCUGGUGGGUAGUUUGACUGGGGCGG
This 425-nucleotide ribosomal RNA is filed under the name Campylobacter jejuni. RNAcentral describes it as "bacterial LSU rRNA". It matches the Rfam family "Bacterial large subunit ribosomal RNA", at positions 1858 to 2282 of the family's 2925-position model. The record is from RNAcentral. Lineage: Bacteria; Pseudomonadati; Campylobacterota; Epsilonproteobacteria; Campylobacterales; Campylobacteraceae.